Molecule: ribosomal RNA, 2925 nt
Filed under: Escherichia coli
Lineage: Bacteria; Pseudomonadati; Pseudomonadota; Gammaproteobacteria; Enterobacterales; Enterobacteriaceae
Also listed under: 1 other name
Description: bacterial LSU rRNA
Rfam family: Bacterial large subunit ribosomal RNA
Source: RNAcentral
GGGUUGUGAGGUUAAGCGACUAAGCGUACACGGUGGAUGCCCUGGCAGUCAGAGGCGAUGAAGGACGUGCUAAUCUGCGAUAAGCGUCGGUAAGGUGAUAUGAACCGUUAUAACCGGCGAUUUCCGAAUGGGGAAACCCAGUGUGUUUCGACACACUAUCAUUAACUGAAUCCAUAGGUUAAUGAGGCGAACCGGGGGAACUGAAACAUCUAAGUACCCCGAGGAAAAGAAAUCAACCGAGAUUCCCCCAGUAGCGGCGAGCGAACGGGGAGCAGCCCAGAGCCUGAAUCAGUGUGUGUGUUAGUGGAAGCGUCUGGAAAGGCGCGCGAUACAGGGUGACAGCCCCGUACACAAAAAUGCACAUGCUGUGAGCUCGAUGAGUAGGGCGGGACACGUGGUAUCCUGUCUGAAUAUGGGGGGACCAUCCUCCAAGGCUAAAUACUCCUGACUGACCGAUAGUGAACCAGUACCGUGAGGGAAAGGCGAAAAGAACCCCGGCGAGGGGAGUGAAAAAGAACCUGAAACCGUGUACGUACAAGCAGUGGGAGCACGCUUAGGCGUGUGACUGCGUACCUUUUGUAUAAUGGGUCAGCGACUUAUAUUCUGUAGCAAGGUUAACCGAAUAGGGGAGCCGAAGGGAAACCGAGUCUUAACUGGGCGUUAAGUUGCAGGGUAUAGACCCGAAACCCGGUGAUCUAGCCAUGGGCAGGUUGAAGGUUGGGUAACACUAACUGGAGGACCGAACCGACUAAUGUUGAAAAAUUAGCGGAUGACUUGUGGCUGGGGGUGAAAGGCCAAUCAAACCGGGAGAUAGCUGGUUCUCCCCGAAAGCUAUUUAGGUAGCGCCUCGUGAAUUCAUCUCCGGGGGUAGAGCACUGUUUCGGCAAGGGGGUCAUCCCGACUUACCAACCCGAUGCAAACUGCGAAUACCGGAGAAUGUUAUCACGGGAGACACACGGCGGGUGCUAACGUCCGUCGUGAAGAGGGAAACAACCCAGACCGCCAGCUAAGGUCCCAAAGUCAUGGUUAAGUGGGAAACGAUGUGGGAAGGCCCAGACAGCCAGGAUGUUGGCUUAGAAGCAGCCAUCAUUUAAAGAAAGCGUAAUAGCUCACUGGUCGAGUCGGCCUGCGCGGAAGAUGUAACGGGGCUAAACCAUGCACCGAAGCUGCGGCAGCGACGCUUAUGCGUUGUUGGGUAGGGGAGCGUUCUGUAAGCCUGCGAAGGUGUGCUGUGAGGCAUGCUGGAGGUAUCAGAAGUGCGAAUGCUGACAUAAGUAACGAUAAAGCGGGUGAAAAGCCCGCUCGCCGGAAGACCAAGGGUUCCUGUCCAACGUUAAUCGGGGCAGGGUGAGUCGACCCCUAAGGCGAGGCCGAAAGGCGUAGUCGAUGGGAAACAGGUUAAUAUUCCUGUACUUGGUGUUACUGCGAAGGGGGGACGGAGAAGGCUAUGUUGGCCGGGCGACGGUUGUCCCGGUUUAAGCGUGUAGGCUGGUUUUCCAGGCAAAUCCGGAAAAUCAAGGCUGAGGCGUGAUGACGAGGCACUACGGUGCUGAAGCAACAAAUGCCCUGCUUCCAGGAAAAGCCUCUAAGCAUCAGGUAACAUCAAAUCGUACCCCAAACCGACACAGGUGGUCAGGUAGAGAAUACCAAGGCGCUUGAGAGAACUCGGGUGAAGGAACUAGGCAAAAUGGUGCCGUAACUUCGGGAGAAGGCACGCUGAUAUGUAGGUGAAGUCCCUCGCGGAUGGAGCUGAAAUCAGUCGAAGAUACCAGCUGGCUGCAACUGUUUAUUAAAAACACAGCACUGUGCAAACACGAAAGUGGACGUAUACGGUGUGACGCCUGCCCGGUGCCGGAAGGUUAAUUGAUGGGGUCAGCGCAAGCGAAGCUCUUGAUCGAAGCCCCGGUAAACGGCGGCCGUAACUAUAACGGUCCUAAGGUAGCGAAAUUCCUUGUCGGGUAAGUUCCGACCUGCACGAAUGGCGUAAUGAUGGCCAGGCUGUCUCCACCCGAGACUCAGUGAAAUUGAACUCGCUGUGAAGAUGCAGUGUACCCGCGGCAAGACGGAAAGACCCCGUGAACCUUUACUAUAGCUUGACACUGAACAUUGAGCCUUGAUGUGUAGGAUAGGUGGGAGGCUUUGAAGUGUGGACGCCAGUCUGCAUGGAGCCGACCUUGAAAUACCACCCUUUAAUGUUUGAUGUUCUAACGUUGACCCGUAAUCCGGGUUGCGGACAGUGUCUGGUGGGUAGUUUGACUGGGGCGGUCUCCUCCUAAAGAGUAACGGAGGAGCACGAAGGUUGGCUAAUCCUGGUCGGACAUCAGGAGGUUAGUGCAAUGGCAUAAGCCAGCUUGACUGCGAGCGUGACGGCGCGAGCAGGUGCGAAAGCAGGUCAUAGUGAUCCGGUGGUUCUGAAUGGAAGGGCCAUCGCUCAACGGAUAAAAGGUACUCCGGGGAUAACAGGCUGAUACCGCCCAAGAGUUCAUAUCGACGGCGGUGUUUGGCACCUCGAUGUCGGCUCAUCACAUCCUGGGGCUGAAGUAGGUCCCAAGGGUAUGGCUGUUCGCCAUUUAAAGUGGUACGCGAGCUGGGUUUAGAACGUCGUGAGACAGUUCGGUCCCUAUCUGCCGUGGGCGCUGGAGAACUGAGGGGGGCUGCUCCUAGUACGAGAGGACCGGAGUGGACGCAUCACUGGUGUUCGGGUUGUCAUGCCAAUGGCACUGCCCGGUAGCUAAAUGCGGAAGAGAUAAGUGCUGAAAGCAUCUAAGCACGAAACUUGCCCCGAGAUGAGUUCUCCCUGACCCUUUAAGGGUCCUGAAGGAACGUUGAAGACGACGACGUUGAUAGGCCGGGUGUGUAAGCGCAGCGAUGCGUUGAGCUAACCGGUACUAAUGAACCGUGAGGCUUAACCUUACAACGCCGAAG